UCCUGGUUAACCCAGGCAGUCUCAUUAGAGUUCCCACCUUAAAUGUUGGCAACUAAUGAUAAGGGUUGCGCUCGUUGCGGGACUUAACCCAACACCUCACGGCACGAGCUGACGACAGCCAUGCAGCACCUGUGCACAGACCCUCGCGGGAAACGAAAUCUCUCUCGUCGUCCUGUGCAUGUCAAACCUGGGUAAGGUUCUUCGCGUUGCAUCGAAUUAAACCACAUGCUCCACUGCUUGUGCGGGUCCCCGUCAAUUCUUUUGAGUUUCAGCCUUGCGACUGUACUCCCCAGGCGGUAUACUUAUCGCGUUUGCUUCGGCACAGUCAGGGUUGAGUCCGACUACACCAAGUAUACAUCGUUUACAGCAAGGACUAC
RNAcentral lists this unclassified non-coding RNA (377 nucleotides) under uncultured Parachlamydiaceae bacterium. RNAcentral describes it as "contains 16S-23S intergenic spacer region". The record is from RNAcentral. Lineage: Bacteria; Pseudomonadati; Chlamydiota; Chlamydiia; Parachlamydiales; Parachlamydiaceae.